Molecule: ribosomal RNA, 520 nt
Filed under: uncultured Glomus
Lineage: Eukaryota; Fungi; Glomeromycota; Glomeromycetes; Glomerales; Glomeraceae
Description: SSU rRNA
Rfam family: Eukaryotic small subunit ribosomal RNA
Source: RNAcentral
AGCAGCCGCGGUAAUUCCAGCUCCAAUAGCGUAUAUUAAAGUUGUUGCAGUUAAAAAGCUCGUAGUUGAAUUUCGGGAUCAAUACGUCGGUCGUGCUUUCGGGUACGUACUGGCGUCAUUGGCUUCUCCUUUCUGACGAACCAUGAUGUCAUUAAUUUGGUGUUAUGGGGAGUUAGGACUGUUACUUUGAAAAAAUUAGAGUGUUUAAAGCAGGCUAACGCUUGAAUACAUUAGCAUGGAAUAAUGAAAUAGGACGUUUGAUCCUAUUUUGUUGGUUUCUAGGAUCCACGUAAUGAUUAAUAGGGAUAGUUGGGGGCAUUAGUAUUCAAUUGUCAGAGGUGAAAUUCUUGGAUUUAUUGAAGACUAACUACUGCGAAAGCAUUUGCCAAGGAUGUUUCCAUUAAUCAAGAACAAAAGUUAGGGAAUCGAAGACGAUCAGAUACCGUCGUAGUCUUAACCAUAAACUAUGCCGACUAGGGAUCGGAUGAUGUUAAUUUUUAAUGACUCAUUCGGCGCCUUA